Molecule: ribosomal RNA, 316 nt
Filed under: uncultured bacterium
Lineage: Bacteria
Description: bacterial SSU rRNA
Rfam family: Bacterial small subunit ribosomal RNA
Source: RNAcentral
GAUGAACGCUAGCUACAGGCUUAACACAUGCAAGUCGAGGGGCAGCAUGGAAGUUUGCUUGCAAACUUUUGAUGGCGACCGGCGCACGGGUGAGUAACACGUAUCCAACCUGCCUCAUACUCGGGGAUAGCCUUUCGAAAGAAAGAUUAAUACCCGAUGUCAUAGUCCUACCGCAUGAUGGGAUUAUUAAAGAAUUUCGGUAUGGGAUGGGGAUGCGUUCCAUUAGUUAGUUGGCGGGGUAACGGCCCACCAAGACAACGAUGGAUAGGGGUUCUGAGAGGAAGGUCCCCCACAUUGGAACUGAGACACGGACCAG